CUCUUAUUUGCAAGCAGAAUAACCAUGCUGUGAGCCCGAGCCCGGGAGGAUGGGGCGCUGCCGCGGGGCCACAGCCUGAGAGCCGGGAGCGGGCACUCGGGAGGGCAGGUUUCGUCCGAGCUUCUGGUCUUCAGUUCAACUCGUGUGUGUCAUGGAUGAAACUGCUUUGUCCCUUGGAACAAUAGAUGUUUCCUAUUUGUCCGCCUCAGCAGAGUGCAGUAUCAGUAGAUGUAAGCAUUCCAGUGAAGAAUGGG
RNAcentral lists this long non-coding RNA (254 nucleotides) under Columba livia (rock pigeon). Its description in RNAcentral is "partial uncharacterized LOC106145748, transcript variant X2". The record is from RNAcentral. Lineage: Eukaryota; Metazoa; Chordata; Aves; Columbiformes; Columbidae.